GACUCGUCGCUACGAGAGACGCUGGCGGCGUGCCUAACACAUGCAAGUCGAGCGGAGAUGCAGGGCAGCUUGCUGCCAUGCAUCUUAGCGGCGGACGGGUGAGUAACACGUGGGCAACCUGCCUUUCACAGGGGGAUAACACAGGGAAACUUGUGCUAAUACCGCAUAACACAUAUUUGUGGCAUCACAGAGAUGUCAAAGGAGUAACAUCCGGUGAAAGAUGGGCCCGCGUCCGAUUAGCUGGUUGGUGAGGUAACGGCCCACCAAGGCGACGAUCGGUAGCCGAACUGAGAGGUUGAUCGGCCACAUUGGGACUGAGACACGGCCCAGACUCCUACGGGAGGCAGCAGUGGGGAAUAUUGCGCAAUGGGGGAAACCCUGACGCAGCAACGCCGCGUGAAGGAAGAAGGCCUUCGGGUUGUAAACUUCUUUGAUCAGGGACGAAGUAUGACGGUACCUGAAGAACAAGCCACGGCUAACUACGUGCC
This 488-nucleotide ribosomal RNA is filed under the name uncultured organism. Its description in RNAcentral is "SSU rRNA". It matches the Rfam family "Bacterial small subunit ribosomal RNA", at positions 33 to 509 of the family's 1533-position model. The record is from RNAcentral.